CUUUUUGAAGCUAUAAAAAGUCUAACCUGCCCACUGAUUAUAAUAAUUUAAGGGCCGCGGUAUUAUGACCGUGCAAAGGUAGCAUAAUCAUUAGGUUUUUAAAUGAGAUCUUGUAUGAACGGUUGGACAAAGGAAAAGCUGUCUUUAUUUUAAAGUUUGAAUUUUACUUUUGAGUGAGAAGGCUUAAAUAAUUUAGAGGGACGAUAAGACCCUAUAAAGCUUUACAUUAAAAUUAUAUUUGAUUGAAUUUUAAAAUUAAAGUUUAAUAUAAUUGUUUGUUUUAUUGGGGAGAUAAAAGUAUAAAUUAUAUUAACUGCUAAAAAUAUAAACAUAUAUGAGUGGAAUAAUAAAAGAUCCUAAAUUUGAAGAGUGAAAGACUAAGUUACUUUAGGGAUAACAGUGUAAUUUUUUUUGAGAGUUCAUAUCGAAAAAGAAGUUUGCAACCUCGAUGUUGAAUUAAAAUAUCUAUAUAAUGUAGCUGUUAUAUAAGAGGGUCUGUUCGACCUUU
RNAcentral lists this ribosomal RNA (508 nucleotides) under Parathelphusa sorella. Its description in RNAcentral is "partial 16S ribosomal RNA". It matches the Rfam family "Bacterial large subunit ribosomal RNA", at positions 1821 to 2589 of the family's 2925-position model. Lineage: Eukaryota; Metazoa; Arthropoda; Malacostraca; Decapoda; Gecarcinucidae. The record is from RNAcentral.